This 478-nucleotide ribosomal RNA is filed under the name uncultured bacterium. RNAcentral describes it as "partial 16S ribosomal RNA". It matches the Rfam family "Bacterial small subunit ribosomal RNA", at positions 28 to 523 of the family's 1533-position model. The record is from RNAcentral.
GACGAACGCUGGCGGCGUGCUUAACACAUGCAAGUCGAACGGUAAGGCCCUUCGGGGUACACGAGUGGCGAACGGGUGAGUAACACGUGGGUGAUCUGCCCUGCACUUCGGGAUAAGCCUGGGAAACUGGGUCUAAUACCGGAUAGGACCACUGCCUGCAUGGGUGGUGGUGGAAAGCUUUUGCGGUGUGGGAUGGGCCCGCGGCCUAUCAGCCUGGUGGUGGGGUGAUGGCCUACCAAGGCGACGACGGGUAGCCGGCCUGAGAGGGUGACCGGCCACACUGGGACUGAGAUACGGCCCAGACUCCUACGGGAGGCAGCAGUGGGGAAUAUUGCACAAUGGGCGCAAGCCUGAUGCAGCGACGCCGCGUGAGGGGUGACGGCCUUCGGGUUGUAAACCUCUUUCAGCAUCGACGAAGCGAAAGUGACGGUAGGUGCAGAAGAAGGACCGGCCAACUACGUGCCAGCAGCCGCCGUAA